Unclassified non-coding RNA from Macaca fascicularis (crab-eating macaque), 300 nucleotides. It matches the Rfam family "Metazoan signal recognition particle RNA". Rfam says of the family: The signal recognition particle (SRP) is a universally conserved ribonucleoprotein. It is involved in the co-translational targeting of proteins to membranes. NCBI's taxonomy places the organism in Eukaryota, Metazoa, Chordata, Mammalia, Primates, Cercopithecidae. The record is from Ensembl.
GCCAGGCGUGGUAUUACACACCUGUAGUCCAAGCUCCUUGGGAGGUUGAAGCAGGAGGAUUGCUGGAGCCCAGGAGUUCUAGACUGGAGUGUGCUGUUCCGAUCCGGUGUCUUCACUAAACUCAGUAUCAAUAUGGUGACCUCCAGGGAGCCAGGGACCACCAGGUUUCCUAAGGACAGGUGUACUGGCCCAGGUCAGAAAUGGAGCAGGUCAGAGCUCCCGUGCUGAUCAGUAAUGGACUCGGGCCUGUGAAGAGCCACUGCACUCCAGCAUGGGCAACAUCACAAGACCCUGUCUCUU